UGACCUACGGGGGGCAGCAGUGGGGAGUAUUGCACAAUGGGGGAAACCCUGAUGCAGCGACGCCGCGUGAGCGAUGAAGUAUUUCGGUAUGUAAAGCUCUAUCAGCAGGGAAGAAAAUGACGGUACCUGACUAAGAAGCCCCGGCUAACUACGUGCCAGCAGCCGCGGUAAUACGUAGGGGGCAAGCGUUAUCCGGAUUUACUGGGUGUAAAGGGAGCGUAGGCGGCGAUGCAAGUCAGAAGUGAAAGCCCGGGGCUCAACUCCGGGACCGCUUUUGAAACUGUAUGGCUAGAUUGCAGGAGAGG
RNAcentral lists this ribosomal RNA (305 nucleotides) under uncultured bacterium. Its description in RNAcentral is "bacterial SSU rRNA". It matches the Rfam family "Bacterial small subunit ribosomal RNA", at positions 333 to 657 of the family's 1533-position model. The record is from RNAcentral.